RNAcentral lists this microRNA precursor (55 nucleotides) under Caenorhabditis elegans. RNAcentral describes it as "microRNA cel-mir-2213 precursor". The record is from miRBase by way of RNAcentral. Lineage: Eukaryota; Metazoa; Nematoda; Chromadorea; Rhabditida; Rhabditidae.
UGGCGGACUCUUCACAGUUUGACCUCGGAGAUCAAGCUGUAAGAGGACUGCCUAA